CGGUGCCGAGUGGUAAAGACAAGGAGUUAUGGCGUUGCGAACUUUGUCGCACAACGACCAAACAAAAAGCCAACACAUGCAAGGGGAAAGAACAUUAAGUGCUGAGUGCAAAACUAGUGGCGGACGGGUGAGUAACGCGUGGGCAACCUACCCAUAAGAGGGGGAUAACAGCUGGAAACGGCUGCUAAUACCGCAUAAGCUUAGCUGGACGCAUGUUUGGUUAAGUAAAGGAGGCUUAGGCUUCCGCUUAUGGAUGGGCCCGCGUCUGAUUAGCUAGUUGGUAGGGUAACGGCCUACCAAGGCGACGAUCAGUAGCCGGCCUGAGAGGGUGUACGGCCACACUGGGACUGAGACACGGCCCAGACUCCUACGGGAGGCAGCAGUGGGGAAUAUUGCGCAAUGGGGGAAACCCUGACGCAGCGACGCCGCGUGAGCGAAGAAGGCCUUCGGGUUGUAAAGCUCUGUUGUAAGGGACGAAGGAUUGGGGUAGUAACUGACCCCAAGGUGACGGUACCUUACGAGGAAGCCCCGGCUAACUACGUG
This 543-nucleotide ribosomal RNA is filed under the name uncultured bacterium. RNAcentral's name for it is "bacterial SSU rRNA". It matches the Rfam family "Bacterial small subunit ribosomal RNA", at positions 1 to 507 of the family's 1533-position model. The record is from RNAcentral.